CCUACGGGAGGCAGCAGUAGGGAAUCUUCCACAAUGGACGAAAGUCUGAUGGAGCAACGCCGCGUGAGUGAAGAAGGGUUUCGGCUCGUAAAGCUCUGUUGGUAGUGAAGAAAGAUAGAGGUAGUAACUGGCCUUUAUUUGACGGUAAUUACUUAGAAAGUCACGGCUAACUACGUGCCAGCAGCCGCGGUAAUACGUAGGUGGCAAGCGUUGUCCGGAAUUAUUGGGCGUAAAGCGGGUGCAGGCGGUAUGAUAAGUCUGAUGUGAAAACCUCCGGCUCAACCGGAGAAUUGCAUCAGAUAAUGGCUGGCGUGAGUCUGGGAGAGGGGGGUAGAAUGUCAGGGGGAG
This 348-nucleotide ribosomal RNA is filed under the name uncultured bacterium. Its description in RNAcentral is "partial 16S ribosomal RNA". It matches the Rfam family "Bacterial small subunit ribosomal RNA", at positions 338 to 678 of the family's 1533-position model. The record is from RNAcentral.